GGUGAAUUUACAUGUGAUUAAGUUUAACUUGCUUUCUGCCUUAAUCUAGGCUAAGCAGGGCCCCUACUUAAAGAUCAUUGCUACUAAAAAUUAUUGAUAUACCCAUUCAUAGACUUUAAAGAAAAUGCCAGUGGAGAAUUCCCUGGUGGUCUAGAGAUUAGGACUCCAUGCUUCCAAUGACAGGGGUUGGGGUUCGAUCCCAGGUUGGGGAACUAAGAUCCCAUAAGCCAAGUGGUGCAGCCAGGGGAAAAAAAGAAAGAAGAUGCCGGUAAAGGGUUGUCCUUAAAGAGGAUCUUGCCGCUGAAAUGGGCUCUUUUGCUCUAUUCUGGGCUUCCCUGGUGGCUCAGAUGGUAAAAAAUCUGCCUGCAACGCAGAAGACCCGGCUUCCAUCCCUGAGUUGGGAUGUCUCCUCCCCGGCACUUCGUCACACAUAACACGUAUAUCAAUUGAUGCUUUCAAACUGUGGCACUGGAGAAGACUCUUUGAUUAGAGUUCCUUGGGCAGCAAGGAGAUCAAACCAGUCAAUCCUAAAGGAAAUCAGCCCUGAAUAUUCAUGGCAAGGACUGAUGCUGAAGCUGCAGUACUUUGGCCACCUGAUGCAAAGAGCCAACUCAUUGGAAAAGACCUUAAUGUUGGGAAAGAUUGAGGGCAAGAGGAGAAAGGGGCAUCAGAGGAUGAGAUGGUUGGAUGGCAUCACAGACUCAAUGGACAUGAGUUUGAGCAAACUCAGAGAGGUAGUGAGGACAGAGAAGCCUGGCAUGCUGCAGUUCAUGGGGUCGGAAAGAGUCAGACACAACUUAGUGACUGAACAACAACAACGAAUACAAUACUUGCACACAGAUCGUUUCUAUUUUCAUUCUUAUUUGAGGUUGGCCCUGUGGUGAAUCCAUUUCUGUAGAUAAUACAUUGAUAAUAGCCUCAGGAUAGUGGGUUUAUCUCUGCGAUGGUGGGUCUAUCUUUAAAUCAUUUUUUUAAAGAUUUUUUUUUGAUGUGGACCAUUUUUAAAGUCUUUACUGAAUUU
Molecule: long non-coding RNA, 1021 nt
Organism: Bos taurus (domestic cattle)
Lineage: Eukaryota; Metazoa; Chordata; Mammalia; Artiodactyla; Bovidae
Source: Ensembl